GUGAAUAAUAAAAUUCCAAUUAUCUUCCUUUGAGAAGAAUCUUAGAAGAUUUUCCAAUUUAUUGCUGCAAGAACGAAGGAAAUCCAUCGAAUAAUAACCGAUUUAUUGGCAUUUGAAAUAUUUUUCACUUUUUUCGGUUUUAGAUUUUCAUUUCACAUCCCUAUGUAGCCGAAUUUCCUGAGAGAAGUGUUCUACUUCAGAAACUUUUCGAAACCCACUAGCUCAGCGGAUAUCUUAUGAUUCUCCGUCUUCGCUAUCGUCUCCAUCGAUUCCACCGAAGCUUGAUUGUCUAUCACAUCGGUCACAUCGAGCUGAUGUUCUUGAUUAAUGGGCCGAUAGGUUCUUAGAAAGAAAUAACUCGAAAUAAAUCGUUCAAAGAAACUUUAUUAAUGUGGUUAACUUCUCUGACAUGGUUAUUUUCAGAAUUACAGUAUUCGACAGAGAUGCCAGAUAUACAGACAAAUCUGUAUUAUACAGACUUUCUGUGUUGCGAUACAGACACGCAUAAGCCUACAGAUUUUAUACAGACAUUUAGUAUAAUACAGAUAUUACACAGAUAUCUGAUAUUCUACAUAAUGGUUUUACCAGUAUACACAAAAAAACGAACACAAAAACCAAAAGUCACUGUAGCCGUUGCUGGAAAAAGUGAACUAGGAACUGAACACUUUGCUGAACAUAUUAAUCAUGCGUUUUUGAGAGUGAAAUCAUGACAACGGGAAUCGAGUCAGGCUAUCGGGGUUUUUAUCGGCCCCGUGGGCACUAAUCUGCCUGUUUCGCCCCCAGUAACAAACAGCUGAUUGUCUCGAUCGAUUGCCAUGCAGGUUAUAUUGGUGAAAAGACCGUUUGUUCCAUUCGGAGCAAUAUCCAACGUUGAAGAAUUGCUUAAAAUGUCCCAAACCUUGAAGGUACUAUUUUUAUAACCGCGAGACUUCUGCCAUCAUGUAUCAGUUUAGCUACAUUACGACGAACGACGAUUUUUAUCACGGGAAAGACUCUUACUUCUAUGUGUUACUUAGAUUUUAAAGAUAAAUUAGUUAUCGAUUAAUCUACCAACUAUGAUAGCCUCGAAAAAGAACAAUCAAAACAAGCAAUAAAACAAAACAAUCUGACAGGUCGACAAAUAAUUAGGUAUCAAUGUAUCGGUAACUUUUUUUCGCAGCGGUAUACAGACUUAUACAGACAUUUUUAUGGAUUAUACAGACUUGCCAAAAAAAAGUCUGGCAUCUCUGCUAUUCGAUGAGGAGCGCACAUCGUAUGUAGGGGAACUUACACGCUACCAAUGUUUUACUCAUUAAUUAAGGUAUAAAUAACUUCUCAAUACCCCUCAUUAAUUUAUGCAAACUACACGGCCAACCGCAGCUCUCAGGCGCUGAAAUGGCCCUGCAGAUAAUCCCUUGGUUAGCAUAUCAGCUUCCUGUUUUUCUGACGGUAAAUAUUUCAAUUUAAUGCACUGAUCUUGUACCAAUUCUUUCACGAAACUGUGCUUGACAUCAAUAUGUUUCAGCUUACUUCGAUCCCUUGGUUCUUCAAGCACCUUGAUUGCAGAUUGAUUAUCUUCAAAAUAGGUAACCGGCAAUUUGAUUUGAAAACCCAACUCCUCCAGAAGUCGCACCAUCCUCACAAAUUGCCACCAAUUCUGCUUCAGUUGAUGACAGAGAAACCGUCCUUUGCUUUCAAGUCGCCCAAAAACUUUAAAUAAAUAGCCUGUAACAGAGCGCCAAUCUACAACAUAAUUCGCCCAGUCGGCAGAACGCUACCAACAACGGUUCUCUGUCAUCUACUUUGUACUCCAAACCAACACCCACUGAUCCUUUAACAUAUCGUAAAACACGUUUCAGAUAUGUCCAGUGUUCUUCCGUUGGGCAGCUCUGGAACUGACUGAAGUAGUUCACUGUGGCAGACAGAUCCGGUCGAGUGGUCAACGUGACACACAUCAAGCAACCAAUUAACUCUCGAUAUGUUUUUGAUGUACGAUUCGACUCCACUCCCUUUUCCAGUCGCAGAUGACUCUACAUUGGAACCGAACUUGGUUUGCAAUCAGACAUGUUGAAUCGUUUCAACAAAUCUUGUAGAUACCUUUGCUAACUAAUUCGCAAAAUACGACGCUCCACGUCACGCUCAAUUUUUAUUCUGAGGAAACUUGAUGCAUCACCUGAAUCCACCAUUUCAAACGCUUUCGACAGAGAGUUCUUCACAACUUUGAUCUCUCGAAGAUCAUGCCCAAAUAGCAAGAUAUCGUCAACAUACAACAACAAGAACAUCUUCUUUUGUUCAUCACCUCGUACGUACAAACAUUGAUCACCAAGCGUUCUUUUGAAGCCGAAAACGAUGAAAUUUAUCGUUCCAAGCUUUUGAAGCUUGCUUGAGACCAUAAAGGGAUUUAUUAAGUCGACAUACUAAUCCAUCACCGUGUACGAAGCCCUCAGGUUGUGUCAUAAAUAUUUCUGUGUUAAGGUCUCCAUUGAGGAAUGCUGUGUGUACGUCCAUUUGAUGUAUGUACAUUCGCUCAUGAUUUGCAAUGGCCAACAUCAUCCGCAAUGUUUUCAACUUUGUAACCGGCGAAUAGGUCUCCCUAUAAUCGAAACCACAUCGCUGUGUAAAGCCACGCGCAACUAGCCGUGCUUCGUAUCGGUCUGGUUCUUCACCUUCUCCGGGCUUAAUCCGAAACACCCACUUACACGUAAUAGCCUCCCGACCUUUCGGAAGCUUUGUCAGCGACCAUGUGUUAUUUUUCCGCAGUGAGUGCAUUUCUUCUUCGACAGCUAUUUUCCAUUUCAACCAAUCGGGUCUUUUUUUUAAUUCUGCAAUAGUGCAUGGUAGAUUAUCAACAUUCUCCAUGGCACCAAGAGCGAAACCAGCGAAAGUCAUAUCGUAAUCUUUUUGCCAUAUUGGUGGCUGUCGAACACGACCAGGUACAUUUUGUUGCUCGUCUGAAGAUUCCGUAUUACAACUGUCAAACCCGCAAGACUCCUCAACGCUAUCAACUUCAUCCGGCAAUUCUCUAUCUGAACCAUUCUCCUCACCAUUUUCAGAAAUACAAUCUAAAACAUCGUCAUCUUCUUUCCCUACAGAAGAACUAUCUGCAACUUGAACUGUCUUCACUAUUUCGGAGCCUGUUGCUUCAAGCAUAUCGCCUGCACAUUUUCAUCAAAGACAACAUCACGAACAGUAACUAUUCUCUCCUAACGAGGGUCCUAGAUACGGUAACCGUUUAUACCGUAACCGAUAAAUAUACCCUUCCAAGAUUUCUCGUCAAGCUUUUUACGGUUUUGUUUCGGAAUAUGACAAUAGGCAGUGGAGCCAAAUACCCUCAAUUUCGAAACAAAGGGUUUUCUCCCUUCCCACAUUUCGAAUAGUGUCGUCUUUGCACCAAUAGCACUUGCUGGACUCCUGUUCGAGAGAAACGCAGCGGUUUGCACUGCCUCACCCCAAAAUACACGAUCAACUCCGGAAUCGAAAAGCAUUGAACGAGCCUUUUCCACCAACGUUCUGUUCAUCCUCUCACAGACGCCAUUCUGUUCAGGAGAAUAUGGAUUCUAUUUUAUUUCUCUUUUAAUGCCCCUGCGUUUACAGAACGAUCGUAUUUCUUUACCCGCAUAUUCCCUACCAUUAUCCGAACGGAAACGGGAAAUUCUAACACCAAACUCCGCUGUCAUUUCCAUCUCGUAUUCCUUAAAACAUUCAGCCACUUGAUCUUUGGACUGAAUCAGAAAUACUUCAGUAAAACGUGACCAAUCGUCAAUGAAUGUCACAAAAUGUUUGUGACCAUUCCAUCCGGCUGGCGUUAAAGGCCCGCAAACGUCCGAGUGCACAAGCUCUAGCACCCGAGUUGAUCGCCGUUCUUUCUUCAACUUGAAUGGAUUUCUCGUUUGUUUUGCUGACACACACGACUCACAAAUAACCAUUGAAUUAUCGCCGUUUAUCAGCCUUUAAGCCUUCCACCUUUCCAUUUUUAAUCAAUUUUAAUAAGUUCUCCUCACCGAGGUGGCCGUAUCUACGAUACCACAACUCCAUCGCCUUAGUAAUUUUUCCGGUAAAUAAAAAAGAAUCGGCUUCAUCCUUUGUGCAUAAAAGUUUAUCUCAUAAAGUUUUUCACAUCUUUGGCCAGUGGCCACCACCACUGAGUUCUGUAUAAUCUCUACCCGACCACCUUCGAACACAACUUUCAUACCUGCUGAUUCGAUCUUGCUUAUUUAAAGUUAAUUACAACGAGCAUCCGGAAUUUACACAGCAUCAGCAACCGUUGCCGUAAUCAUUUUGCCAUCAACAGCCGAUAUAACAGGAAUAUUUCCUUUGUAUUUUUCUGUUACCCUUUCACCAUUUUUCGCUACAGCAAUUUUCAUGGGUGAAUCCAACAAUUCUUGCUUUGGGAAAAGUUUCUUAUCGUUGCAGAUAUGCUCGGUGGCUCCUGAGUCAAUGAACCAACGAACUUUGUUUGUAUGCGAAAGCAAAACCUGAUUGUAUGUGAAAAACAAUACCUCAUUAUUCUUUUCUUCGGCAACAUAAGCACUUGACUUGUCAAAUUUUCUUUCAGCUUUCUUCCUUUCCGGACAAUCCACGAUUUUGUGUCCUAUCUUCUGACAACCGAAGCAUUUAAGAAACAAUUGUUUUUGUGUCUGCUUUCGCACAGCACCUUCCGAGAAUGCAGCCGAGUCUUCCUUGACCUGACGAUUAUCUGUUGUCUUCCGUUUGAUUUCCUCAUCGAGAAGACGACAUUUUUCAAAUUCCAUCGUUAGUUGCUCCACCGGCAGAGAUUCAAGUGAAGUAACUACUAUAUCAUAUGCUUAACCGACAGAAAGCAGCAAACGGCAUACAACAUCAACGUCAUCGAUUAAUCCUCCAGCAGUUCGAUACAUUCGAAUGACUCAAUCAAAUUUCAUGAAAUAACGUAUGAGGAAAAAAAUUCGAACAAACUUUUAAUUCCAAAUUAAAAUCUUGGGCAACUUAUUUUUCUAUACUUGUUUGUUUAUUCAAGUAAUGUAACUCAUUUACAAACCUCAUAGGAAAAACUCAGCUCCACAUCGCGCUGAUUUCCUGAUCCUCUGGGGUACUUGCUUUAUAGCUUCCUGAAUUCCGGAUGUUUCAAUUGUUUUGAGCUCCAUCUUGAUUUUUCUAUCAAACAAUCGACGUUUUUCGCUCUGUUACCUUUAUGGUAGACCAUUCGCUUCAAAUUUGCUCAGAAAGUUUCAAUAGACUGCAGCUGGGGCACAUUUUGAGAAUUGUAUCCUUUUGGAAUAAACCCGAUAUUGCCUUGCCGCAAAUCCGCUAAAGUUGCAUUAGCAAAAUUUGACAAUACAAGUUCUGGCCAAAACACUACUUUGUCAUUUUUAUGGUACUUAUAUUUGAAGUUUUAAGCCUAUUUCAUGCAGAUACUUGUUCACCGUUUUUGAAUCAAUCGGAUAUUUAUUGUCCAGCUCACGAUAUGAUUACGCCGACCGACCAGUCGUUUCCGCCCUUAAUUUCGCUCGAACUUUGCACUCUUGCAAAGUGCAUUCUCGUCCAGAACCAGAUCUUUAUUUGAAGGCAUUUUCAUUCUCGAAGAGUUUGUCAAUAAUGUAUAUAACUGUUUUUAUCUAUAUCCAAGAUCUUUAGAAUAGUGGAACACUUCACUUUUAGAUUUUUCUUCAUUUCGCUCACAAAAAUUGCAAAUCAAUUUACGACGAUCUUCUUCCGACCAUGCCUUUUUCCCAACUAAUCGUCACUUGACAGAAUCGACUAGUCGUGUUACCAGUUAUAUAAAAGUGGAUCUUCAUUUUGUGGAAAAGGAUUUUUCGAUUUGUGCAGCACUUCAAAAUCGUAGACCAAUUCAAAAGUUGUUCGGAUUUUUUUCCUCACACGUUACUCCUGCAAUGGUCCGGAAGUAUACUCCAACUCAUGCAUCAUUCGAUUUAAGUGCAUUCUUUUGGCUACACUCUUCCUUUCGAAAAUUUUUACCAGUCCAUCCCACAUUUGCUUCGGAGUCCUUUUUCCUUGUAGAUGUUCAAGUUGAUCGUCAGGAAUGCGGGAAACCAUUAAUGAUUAGCAGUGUUUGUCCCUCUUUUGUCGCUUUUCGAGCGCCUUCUUUUUCUGUUGCCGUACUUCCACCGUGUCACCAUCUUCGAUUUUAAGAUUUUCCAAAUCCGCAAUUUCGUUCUCGAAGCACUCCUCUAAAUUGAACUCUUCCAGCAAAAUCAGCAUCCGAAAUUUCCAUGCAUGGAAAUUCUUUCCAUCAAACAAUGCCACACGGUGGCAAAUCUUCUUUUCAUCGCCCAUUUACAUGAUGCGUAAUUACGACCGAAUAACAUUCAAUCCGACCGAUACGUGACCAGGAACCGUUUCUGGGCCCAUAACCUAAUGGGCCGAUAGGUUCUUAGAAAGAAAUAACUCGAAAUAAAUAAUCGUUUAAAGUAACUUUAUUAUUGUCGCUGCAGCACUACUCUGCAAUUUGCUGGUGAGUCCAGCGACGCGAAGAUUUCUAGCGAUGUCAUAUUGUAUGAUCAUUUCUCGCUCAGGAGUACAGUACAACGCAGUUUUAAUGUUCUUUGAUUAAAUUGACAUAGUUUUGCGACAAGAAAACAAUCAAAACUAUUAGAAAAUAUUACAGUAGCAUAUUUCGGGACAUUUUCUGUUGAAUCAAAGACUACAUUAUAUUAAAAUACUACGAACUUCACUGGAAAAUCCUUGUCAGACGAGCGACUCGUCGCUUCCGAUUUUUCUCUGCAUGCACAACAAUGUGGUUAAUUUCUCUGACAUGGUUAUUUUUAGAAUGACAGUAUUCGAUGAGGAGCGCACAUCGUAUGUAGGGGAACUUACACGCUACCAAUGGUUUACUCAUUAAUUAAGGUAUAAAUUACUUCUCAAUAUUGAUCACUGGGUUUCUUAUUAUUCCAGUGUUUUCGGUACGUAGCUGUUUUUUCUAACAAUGUUGGGACCCACGAUGACUUUACUCUGGGAGUCCUGCGGUCUCUGGUGCAUAAAUCUGCAGGAAAUUUCAUAUUGGCCUUGAAAUACUUUGUUGUUCUUGAGCUGCCGGAUCGCAUCCUUAACUUCGCUUAUUGUUGGGGGUGGCACAUCUUCGUCGUUCGUUGCACCGACCACGUGUUCUCCGCUCCUGUUGUGGUCUCCUGCUUGAACGCCAUUCAGGUGUUCAUCGUAGUGCUGCUUCCACCUUUCGAUCACCACACAAUCAUCCGUCAAGAUGCCUCCUUUCUCAUCCCUACACAUUUCGGCUCGUGGGACAAAGCCUCUGCGGGAUCCGUUGAGUUUUUGGUGGAACUUUCGUGUUUCGUGUGUGCGGUGCAGCUGCUCGAGUUCUUCACAUUCCUCCUCUUCCUGGCGACGCUUUUUUUCCUUGAAGAGUUGGACUUGCUGCCUCCGUUUCAGUCUAUAUCGCUCCACAUUCUGACGGGUGGCUCUACGCAGCAUUGUUGCCCGCGCUGCGUUUUUCUCGUCCAAAAUCUGCCGACAUUCUUCGUCAAACCACUCGUUACGUCGAUUCGGUUGCACGUGUCUCAGGACUUCCUCCGCAGCACUGCUGAUGGCUGUUUUCACGGCAUUCCAGCGAUCCCCUAGAGGGGCUUCUUCAAGCUCUCCCUCUUCUGGCAGUGCAGCUUCGAGCGAUGACGCGUACUGUGUUGCGAUGUCGUGUUGCUUCAGUCGCGCGAGAUUAUACCGUGGCGGGCGACGGUACCGUAUGUUAUUAACAACGGAUAGUUUUUGGCGUACGUUAACCAUCACUAGGUAGUGAUCCGAAUCGAUGUUAGCGCCUCGAUGUGAUCUGACAUCGAUAAUGUCCGAGAAGUGCCGACCAUCUAUCAAAACGUGGUCGAUUUGUGUUUCUGUUCUAUUCGGUGAUCUCCAGGUGAGUCUAUGGUGGAGGCUAUGCUGAAAGAAGGUGCUACGUAUGGCCAUGUUCUGGGAGGUGGCGAAGUCGAUUAGUCUGAGGCCAUUUUCAUUCGUCAGCUGAUGUGCACUGAAUCGUCCAAUUACCGGUCUGUACUCCUCCUCCUGGCCAACCUGAGCGUUGUAAUUCCCGAUGAUGAUCUUGACAUCAUGUUUUGGGCAGCGGUCAUAUUCACUCUCCAACUGCGAGUAGAAUUCGUCCUUGUCGUCAUCGGUACUUCCGAGGUGUGGGCUAUGCACGUUGAUAAUACCACAGAUAACAGACAUCCAAGCUAGUUUCGCUUUAUGUGUAAAAAAAUUCAACGGUUUUUUAGCAUGUCGCAAUACGCAGUAUGGUGGCGCUAAGAACACUUAGUAGUCAACGAUUUAAUAAAAUCGAUAGUUUUACAGCUUUUAUCGAUAUUCUCGCAAUAAGAAGGGUUGCGGUUUUUAAUGUAGAAAUUUCGAGCAGUCGUAAUUUGUACACAAUCGACAAUUUUAUUCCUUCCCAGCUUAUAUUUACGAUAAAUAUGUUUGUUUUAAUGUUGAUUUGAAAAAAAAACACCAACCUUACAAAAUCAGUGUUAUAUCAUUGCAAAAACAGCGACUCUAUAACCUGUGAUAAUGUUCAUGCGUCUGGCAGCUUUGACUGUAAUCCAGCGCUGUCAUCACUAAACUGGUUAGAGUCGCAAGUUGCAGAAAGAUGUCGUUAGCAUUCCAAACGAGUAAAAGUUUGAAAUCUUACACACGAUUUCUGGAGUUUUUUGUUCUAGCUUGGAUGUCUGUUAUCUGUGAUAAUACUAAUGUUAAAGAAACGGCCUUUGAUCCUCAACCUGCACAUUCUAGGGCUGAUUGGCCACCACCCAAUCACCCGCUUCUGCAUCUCUCCCAUCACUAUAAUAGCUGUUUCCAGCUCAUGUGUGCUUCCACAACUCUGGUAGAUGGUGUGACCAUCUCUGUACGUACGCACCAUCGUCCCCUUCCAGCAUACCUCCUGCAGCGCUACGAUGUUGAACUUGCGAGUCUUCAAUUCCUCGGAAAGCACGCGGGUACUUCCUAGGAAGUUGAGAGAUCGGCAGUUCCAUGUUCCGUAUCCAUGUUCCAAUCGCAUAUCAGAAAUGCUUGCAAAAAUCUUGCGCCAGAAGAACGAAAGUUUGUUCACAAAGCGAAAAAAACGGAGAAAGUGAUCGUUUCUACGGAAGUUGUUCAAACAGCUCACGACUGUGCGUGCAAAGACCCGGUAUCUAAAAAUUUCAGCACGAUACCUAAAUGUAUAAACGUUACUUAUAGUCUUCACAUGAUGCUUUUGCAAGAGAAAAAAACUGUUAAAGAAAUUUUUGGUGUGUUCCUACAAUGGCGUUAUGAUCCAAAAGACAUACGAAAGGAUGAACCCUACACUUGAUAAAGAGUCUAAUCAGAAAAACGUCCUAGUAAGAGGACUUUUGAUUGAGAAUGAAACCUUCGCGACAGUUGGAGAUUAUUUGCGAGGAUGUAUGGGAAUUCUUGUGACUCUGGGCAAAAAAGGUGUCAAAAGCCCAGCCGGAGUUGAAUGUUUGUCGGCCGAGGAACAAAUUGCAGCGCUACUGGUUAGAUGGAUUUCGGAUUAAUCAACAUCCUUCCAGAACAAUUAGCCAAAUAAUCGCAUGGAAUUUGGAUUCGCCCGUAGAUCCACAUUUGAUAACUAAUGGUACAAACUUUUAUUUAUAUGUUGAAGGAGAAAUAGUGGAGUGCGGGACUUCAUCGCUGCAAGCUAUGGACAUCCUCUUAAGAUGUUUUUGCGUUUUUAAAUUGAAAGUUCCACCUUCUUUGAAAAAGAUUUUUGAGUUUUUUGAAAUUAUCACAUAUAAAAUUAAGUCAAAUAGCUCAACACAAAGUGUAAAUAGACUGGUGGCUAUGCUAAGUGAAUCAAGCUUUGCAGAGAAUUGCGAUUCUGACAAUUGAUGAUAGUAGUUAAA
Long non-coding RNA from Wyeomyia smithii (pitcher-plant mosquito), 9815 nucleotides. RefSeq lists it as uncharacterized. The record is from RefSeq and is a predicted model, not a curated record. Lineage: Eukaryota; Metazoa; Arthropoda; Insecta; Diptera; Culicidae. The transcript has 4 exons.